RNAcentral lists this transfer RNA (67 nucleotides) under Marmota monax (woodchuck). RNAcentral describes it as "tRNA-Asp". It matches the Rfam family "tRNA". Rfam says of the family: Transfer RNA (tRNA) molecules are approximately 80 nucleotides in length. Their secondary structure includes four short double-helical elements and three loops (D, anti-codon, and T loops). Lineage: Eukaryota; Metazoa; Chordata; Mammalia; Rodentia; Sciuridae. The record is from RNAcentral.
GAGAUGUUAGUAAAAUAAUUACAUAACUUUGUCAAAGUUAAUUUAUAGGUUAAACUCCUAUAUGUCU